This 893-nucleotide ribosomal RNA is filed under the name Sphaerobolus stellatus. Its description in RNAcentral is "eukaryotic LSU rRNA". It matches the Rfam family "Eukaryotic large subunit ribosomal RNA", at positions 63 to 944 of the family's 3401-position model. The record is from RNAcentral. Lineage: Eukaryota; Fungi; Basidiomycota; Agaricomycetes; Geastrales; Sphaerobolaceae.
AACUAACAAGGAUUCCCCUAUAACGGCGAGUGAAGCGGGAAGAGCUCAAAUUUGUAAUCUGGCGGUUUUCAAUCGUCCGAGUUGUAGUCUAGAGAAGUGUUUUCCAUGCUGAGACCGUGUACAAGUCCCUUGGAACAGGGCGUCAUAGAGGGUGAGAAUCCCGUCUUUGACACGGACUCCCAGUGCUAUGUGAUACACUCUCAAAGAGUCGAGUUGUUUGGGAAUGCAGCUCAAAAUGGGUGGUAAAUUCCAUCUAAAGCUUAAUAUUGGUGGAAGACCGAUAGCGAACAAGUACCGUGAGGGAAAGAUGAAAAGCACUUUGGAAAGAGAGUUAAACAGUACGUGAAAUUGUUGAAAGGGAAACGCUUGAAGUCAGUCGCGUCUUUCAAGAUUCAACUUGGCUUUGGGCCUUGGCUAUUUCCUGGGUGACGGGCCAGCAUCAAUUUUAACCAUGGUAAAGGUCUUGGAAAUGUGGCACCUCGGGUUGUGUUAUAGCCUUUUGAUGUAUGUAAUGAUUGGAUUGAGGACUGCAGCACGCCUUUAUGGCCGGGGUUCGCCCACGUACGUGCUUAGAAUGCUGGCGUAAUGGCUUUAAGCGACCCGUCUUGAAACACGGACCAAGGAGUCUAACAUGCCUGCGAGUGUUUGGGUGGAAAACCCUUGCGCGAAAUGAAAGUGAAAAGUUGGGAUUUCUGUCAUGGAAUGCACCAACGCCCGGACUUGAAGUUUACGGACGGUACCGAGGUAUAGCAUGUAUGUUGGGACCCGAAAGAUGGUGAACUAUGCCUGAGUAGGGUGAAGCCAGAGGAAACUCUGGUGGAGGCUCGUAGCGAUUCUGACGUGCAAAUCGAUCGUCGAACUUGGGUAUAGGGGCGAAAGACUAACGAACCAUC